RNAcentral lists this ribosomal RNA (492 nucleotides) under uncultured bacterium. RNAcentral's name for it is "partial 16S ribosomal RNA". It matches the Rfam family "Bacterial small subunit ribosomal RNA", at positions 29 to 507 of the family's 1533-position model. The record is from RNAcentral.
AGUGAACGCUGGCGGUAGGCCUAACACAUGCAAGUCGAACGGCAGCACAGUAAGAGCUUGCUCUUACGGGUGGCGAGUGGCGGACGGGUGAGGAAUACAUCGGAAUCUACUUUUUCGUGGGGGAUAACGUAGGGAAACUUACGCUAAUACCGCAUACGACCUACGGGUGAAAGCAGGGGAUCUUCGGACCUUGCGCGACUGAAUGAGCCGGUGUCGGAUUAGCUAGUUGGCGGGGUAAAGGCCCACCAAGGCGACGAUCCGUAGCUGGUCUGAGAGGAUGAUCAGCCACACUGGAACUGAGACACGGUCCAGACUCCUACGGGAGGCAGCAGUGGGGAAUAUUGGACAAUGGGCGCAAGCCUGAUCCAGCCAUACCGCGUGGGUGAAGAAGGCCUUCGGGUUGUAAAGCCCUUUUGUUGGGAAAGAAAAGCAGCAGGUUAAUACCCCGCUGUUCUGACGGUACCCAAAGAAUAAGCACCGGCUAACUUCGUG